CCCUAAACCAGUUGUUUCCAAAGAUGGCUGCGAAACCAGUGUUGGCUGCAGCAUCUGUGUGAAUGAUGGGUGAGGAAGUGGAGAGAGGGGGAAUAAACAUAGAGAUACCGUUCCACUCGGCCAAAAACUUCCCCCACAUAGCUAAGUCAGCCUUAGCGUGGGGGUCCAAUGAAACUGGGCAAGAGUCCGGCACCCCGUGAAGCAGGCAAAGAAGCCUGGAUAUAAAAGACCUUCCCUGCGGGAUGAUGCACAUGGCGAAGUUCAGGGAUCCCAAAAGGGACUGGAGUUCCUUCCUGGUGCAAACAUCAUUCCGCAGGAACACGUCUAUCUCCCCUCUCAAGCGGGCCAGUUUGUCAUGGGGAAAGCUAGCUCUGAGGGUAACGGAAUCAAGCUCUAUCCCCA
Molecule: non-coding RNA, 402 nt
Organism: Pelobates cultripes (western spadefoot toad)
Lineage: Eukaryota; Metazoa; Chordata; Amphibia; Anura; Pelobatidae
Source: the annotation of a GenBank genome assembly